RNAcentral lists this ribosomal RNA (825 nucleotides) under Actinomycetes bacterium. RNAcentral's name for it is "bacterial SSU rRNA". It matches the Rfam family "Bacterial small subunit ribosomal RNA", at positions 1 to 812 of the family's 1533-position model. The record is from RNAcentral. Lineage: Bacteria; Bacillati; Actinomycetota; Actinomycetes.
UUCACGGAGAGUUUGAUCCUGGCUCAGGACGAACGCUGGCGGCGCGCCUAACACAUGCAAGUCGAGCGACGACCCAUCCGCUUGCGGAUGCUGAAAGCGGCGAACGGGUGAGUAUCGCGUGGGUAACCUACCCUCGGCUCCGGGAUAGCCCGUGGAAACGCGGAUUAAUACCGGAUGGCCUUUCAGGUCUACGGAUCUGACAGAAAAGGUAGCUUCGGCCUCCGGCUGAGGACGGGCCCGCGUCCGAUUAGCUAGUUGGUGGGGUAAUGGCUCACCAAGGCUCCGAUCGGUAGCUGGUCUGAGAGGACGAUCAGCCACACUGGGACUGAGACACGGCCCAGACUCCUACGGGAGGCAGCAGUGGGGAAUCUUGCGCAAUGGGCGGAAGCCUGACGCAGCGACGCCGCGUGCGGGAAGAAGGCCCUCGGGUUGUAAACCGCUUUCAGGAGGGACGAAGCCACUCGGGUUAAUAGCCCAGAGGGUGACGGUACCUCCAGAAGAAGCCCCGGCUAACUACGUGCCAGCAGCCGCGGUAAUACGUAGGGGGCAAGCGUUGUCCGGAUUCAUUGGGCGUAAAGCGCGUGUAGGCGGUUCAAUAGGUCCGCUGUGAAAGCUCGAGGCUCAACCUCGAGAUGCCAGCGGAAACCAUUGGACUAGAGUCCGGAAGAGGAGAGUGGAAUUCCUGGUGUAGCGGUGAAAUGCGCAGAUAUCAGGAAGAACACCUAUGGCGAAGGCAGCUCUCUGGUACGGUACUGACGCUGAGACGCGAAAGCGUGGGGAGCGAACAGGAUUAGAUACCCUGGUAGUCCACGCCGUAAACGAUGG